GACGAACGCUGGCGGCAUGCCUAACACAUGCAAGUCGAACGAGACCUUCGGGUCUAGUGGCGCACGGGUGCGUAACGCGUGGGAACCUGCCCUUAGGUUCGGAAUAACCCCCCGAAAGGGGUGCUAAUACCGGAUAAUGUCUUCGGACCAAAGAUUUAUCGCCUUUGGAUGGGCCCGCGUUGGAUUAGCUAGUUGGUAGGGUAAAAGCCUACCAAGGCGACGAUCCAUAGCUGGUCUGAGAGGAUGAUCAGCCACACUGGGACUGAGACACGGCCCAGACUCCUACGGGAGGCAGCAGUGGGGAAUAUUGGACAAUGGGCGAAAGCCUGAUCCAGCAAUGCCGCGUGAGUGAUGAAGGCCUUAGGGUUGUAAAGCUCUUUUACCCGGGAUGAUAAUGACAGUACCGGGAGAAUAAGCUCCGGCUAACUCCGUG
Molecule: ribosomal RNA, 433 nt
Filed under: uncultured bacterium
Lineage: Bacteria
Description: partial 16S ribosomal RNA
Rfam family: Bacterial small subunit ribosomal RNA
Source: RNAcentral